This 3567-nucleotide long non-coding RNA is filed under the name Sus scrofa (pig). RNAcentral's name for it is "lncRNA (ENSSSCG00050052008.1)". The record is from RNAcentral. Lineage: Eukaryota; Metazoa; Chordata; Mammalia; Artiodactyla; Suidae.
CCACUGACUUUUUAUAUGGCAAUCACUCUGCACUUGGUUUUUUCAUGUGUAAAAUAUGUAUGGCAAGCACUGUUCCCACUUGCUGUGGUGACCAGUAAAAUAUAUCUAAAAGCACCUACAAAAAAAGUCUGACAGACAACAGGUAUAAUAAUAGGUGACUAUUACUAUUAUAUACUUUCCCACCUUAAGGCCUCUUUAUAUAAUGAUCAAUAUAUAUAUAUUUUUCUUUUUUUGGCUGCCCCACAGGAUAGGGAGUUCCUGGGCCAGGGAUCAGAUCCAACCCACAGUUGUGACCUACACCACAGCUGUGCCAAUGCCAGAUCCUUCAACCCACUGUACCAGCCAGGGAUCAAGCCUGCAUCUUGGCGCUACAGAGAUGGCGAUCAUCCCGCAGCACCCUAGAGAGAAGUCCUGAUUAAAUAUUUUUUAUCACCCUUCUGCUCAACCCUGAAAUGCUUGUCUUCCCUUCUCCACCUGUCAAAACGGGUGAGUCUUUCAAGUAACUAAGAUUAUUACCACAUUUUUAUACAUAAUCCACUGCAUUUUACACAUAUCCACUACAUACUUGCUGAUAAUAUUUUUUCCUAAUGGCCUUUUCAAUUUUUGUAAUUAUUUUGAGAUGGAACAUGUAUAAGCAGAUAAACAGACAAACCAUACCCUUUUCAAUAAGUAAUGUGAAACUUAAGAAUCUCAGAACCUAAAGGAAACUCAGAAAUGACUUGGACCAACCAUUACCAGAUAUGAGUUUCUUCUCUAACAUCCUGACAAAUUAUUAACUCGACCUCUGUUGGGUAUGUCUAGGAGGGCCACUAUUUCUAACGCUACCCCACGCCAUUCUGAAACGGUUCUAUCAAAGGCUCUUCUUUUGACUGAGCCCACAGCCCUCUCCCUAUAAUGGCUAAACAGGAAAGAAAUCUAAUUACACUUGUGUCCAAAGGUCUUUUUGGGAUUAUGGCAUUUGGGAGCCACCUUGACUCCUGGAUCCUCUUUUCCUAUUUCUUCCUCAAGUCCCCUCAUCAUUCUGGCUCUAACUCCUUUAAUGCUUUUAAGGUAAGAUUUUAAAUUAGUGAAAAAUAAGACUCCUGGAAUGUUACAGAGUAGUUACAUCCAUAUCAGUAAAACUGUUCUUGAAGAGAUGCUCAGCUUCUGCUAACACAACCUUAGUUUGGGGGGAAGGAGGCCAGCCCAAACAAGGCUAAUACAAAAUUGUUAACCCAAACUAAGUCCCCUAAAGCCAUUAAGCCUUUUCCCUUGCAAUAUGAGGAAAUCACUUCUUUAUUAUCUCCUCGGGUAUGAAGACUUUAUAUUUAUCCCAAUGACCUGUUUCAUUCUGCUGAGAUAAAUUUGAACUCUGAUACUAUCAACCAAAUGGUUAAUUUAUACCAAACCUCAACACUCUUCAAAUUUGAUCCUCCUAGCAAGGUGCUCAUUGAGAAAGUGAGUUAUAUACCAUGAUUGGGGCAGAGCCCUCCAGAAAGACACUGCAAGUUUUCACUGUUAUAUGGAUCCAUGUAAUUAAUGUCCAUCGACAGAUGAUUGGAUUCGGAAGAUGUGGUAUAUAUACACAAUGGAAUACUACUCAGCCAUAAAAAAGGAUGACAUAAUGCCAUUUGCAGCAACAUGGAUGGAACUAGAGAUUCUCAUCCUGAGUGAAAUGAGCCAGAAAGACAAAGACAAAUACCAUAUGAUAUCACUUAUAACUGGAAUCUAAUAUCCAGCACUAAUGAACAUCUCCUCAGAAAAGAAAAUCAUGGACUUGGAGAAGAGACUUGUGGCUGCCUGAUGGGAGGGGGAGAGAGUGGGAGGGAUCGGGAGCUUGGGCUUAUCAGACACAACUUAGAAUAGAUUUACAAGGAGAUCCUGCUGAAUAGCGCUGAGAACUAUGUCUAGAUACUCAUGUUGCAACAGAACAAAGGGUGGGGGAAAAAAUGUAAUUGUAAUGUAUACAUGUAAGGAUAACCUGACCCUCUUGCUGUACAGUGGGAAAAUAAAAAAAAAGAAAAAAGAAAAAAGAAAAAUGAAAACUAUGUAUAAUUGCCUAUAUGACACCUAUAAAAGAACACUAAACAAACUUCUGUGUCAUGAGCAUUUGUAAUAUUAGUUUAUCCAAGAAAGUUGAUCAAAGCUUAUCUCUGACCAUCCUUGCUCAAUACACCCCACCUAAGAUAAGUCGAUGAAAUAUUCCUUGAAAACACUAUAGAUUUUCAAAUACUCCAUAAUUAGAACCAAAGGAAGACUUAUGCCUUGCUUCAUUUAUCUGGAAAAAAAAUUUUAAUUUAAAAAAUGCUUAGAAAAGCUUUCUUUGUAAUAUUUUAGAUAUAUAAUAAUAUUUUAUAUCCUUAUCCAUUUUUAAACAAAUGCAGGGUUUUUCUGGUUUUGUUUGUUUGUUUGCUUUUUAGGGCCGCAGCCCCAGUUCCCAGUUCCCAGUUCCCAGGCUAGGGUGUUGAAUCAGAGCUGCAGCUGUGACUUGCCACAGCCACAGCAACACAGGAUCGGGGCCACCUACACCACAGCUCAUGGCAACACCAGAUCCCUAACCCACUGAGCGAGGCCAAGGAUCGAACCCUCAUCCUCAUGGAUACUAACUGGGUUUGUAACCACUGAGCCACAAAGGGGAACUCCUUUAAAAAAAUGUUUACUUACAAUGUUUUAACUUUCAAACCCGCACCCACACUUUCUAAAUAUCAUCAAGUUUCCUUCCAGAAAUCAAAAGGAGGCCUUAUACAUGAAAAUUCUGCACAGGCCAGAAUAUUUUGUGAAUAUUCACUGAAAGGGACACAAGGCAAGUAUAUAAGGAGAGUGGAAGUGCAAGAAAAAGUCAAAAAAUGUUUUCCUACUAUUUCUUUGAAUAUUUUACAUAACCCAUUUCUUCAUUUAAAAACAUGCAAUCCUCCUUAAUACUCCAUUUAAGAUAAGAAGUUACUCCAGAGCAACAAAAAGUACCUUUGUAAUUACCAACAUUCUUCUUUCGGAGCUAUUUCUCCCAAGGGAAACAGGGAAUAUUUACUUCAGGAUCCCGUUCAAAGAGGUUGUCGUCAUCACAAAUUCUGUUGCCUGCUUUACUAAAGAACCAGCUGCCAGGAGAUAGACAAAUGCUACUGCUCACUGGGUUCACGGCAGCCCAUGUCCUCUUUUUCACCAAAGAGAAAAAUUUUCAAUAGAGUUUUAAAGUCAAGAUAACUUUAGGAUUCAGGACAUUCCACGACUAGGACAUAGCCGAUAAUAGGAGUUUGGCUCUUAUCCUUCUCCCACUGAAGGAUGGGGAACACCUUUUGCCCCCAGUUAAACCACAGUAGAGAAAAACUAAGUAAGUCUUAUUUCCCUGGAGCGAAACUAAAAUAUUUAGUUUUUAGUUUGUCAAACUGUCAAAGGUGGGGACUUUAAGAAGAGGAGAAAAAUGCAGAUAAUUGAAUGAUUCGUCAUGGAUCUACUCAGGCAUGACUUUAAAUGUUUGCUAUUACUUAAGGUUAAAAAAAUUCCUGAGCCCCUAAUACCCUAAGCCUGUCCUAUUAUUUAUUUGUUACAAUAAAUUGCCAAGUUCCCAGAUAUAAUGAAUGUCUGAUCAGU